This 1259-nucleotide ribosomal RNA is filed under the name Staphylococcus aureus. RNAcentral's name for it is "partial 23S ribosomal RNA". It matches the Rfam family "Bacterial large subunit ribosomal RNA", at positions 332 to 1593 of the family's 2925-position model. The record is from RNAcentral. Lineage: Bacteria; Bacillati; Bacillota; Bacilli; Caryophanales; Staphylococcaceae.
GACGAAUCAUCUGGAAAGAUGAAUCAAAGAAGGUAAUAAUCCUGUAGUCGAAAAUGUUGUCUCUCUUGAGUGGAUCCUGAGUACGACGGAGCACGUGAAAUUCCGUCGGAAUCUGGGAGGACCAUCUCCUAAGGCUAAAUACUCUCUAGUGACCGAUAGUGAACCAGUACCGUGAGGGAAAGGUGAAAAGCACCCCGGAAGGGGAGUGAAAUAGAACCUGAAACCGUGUGCUUACAAGUAGUCAGAGCCCGUUAAUGGGUGAUGGCGUGCCUUUUGUAGAAUGAACCGGCGAGUUACGAUUUGAUGCAAGGUUAAGCAGUAAAUGUGGAGCCGUAGCGAAAGCGAGUCUGAAUAGGGCGUUUAGUAUUUGGUCGUAGACCCGAAACCAGGUGAUCUACCCUUGGUCAGGUUGAAGUUCAGGUAACACUGAAUGGAGGACCGAACCGACUUACGUUGAAAAGUGAGCGGAUGAACUGAGGGUAGCGGAGAAAUUCCAAUCGAACCUGGAGAUAGCUGGUUCUCUCCGAAAUAGCUUUAGGGCUAGCCUCAAGUGAUGAUUAUUGGAGGUAGAGCACUGUUUGGACGAGGGGCCCCUCUCGGGUUACCGAAUUCAGACAAACUCCGAAUGCCAAUUAAUUUAACUUGGGAGUCAGAACAUGGGUGAUAAGGUCCGUGUUCGAAAGGGAAACAGCCCAGACCACCAGCUAAGGUCCCAAAAUAUAUGUUAAGUGGAAAAGGAUGUGGCGUUGCCCAGACAACUAGGAUGUUGGCUUAGAAGCAGCCAUCAUUUAAAGAGUGCGUAAUAGCUCACUAGUCGAGUGACACUGCGCCGAAAAUGUACCGGGGCUAAACAUAUUACCGAAGCUGUGGAUUGUCCUUUGGACAAUGGUAGGAGAGCGUUCUAAGGGCGUUGAAGCAUGAUCGUAAGGACAUGUGGAGCGCUUAGAAGUGAGAAUGCCGGUGUGAGUAGCGAAAGACGGGUGAGAAUCCCGUCCACCGAUUGACUAAGGUUUCCAGAGGAAGGCUCGUCCGCUCUGGGUUAGUCGGGUCCUAAGCUGAGGCCGACAGGCGUAGGCGAUGGAUAACAGGUUGAUAUUCCUGUACCACCUAUAAUCGUUUUAAUCGAUGGGGGGACGCAGUAGGAUAGGCGAAGCGUGCGAUUGGAUUGCACGUCUAAGCAGUAAGGCUGAGUAUUAGGCAAAUCCGGUACUCGUUAAGGCUGAGCAGUGAUGGGGAGAAGACAUUGUGUCUUCGAGUCG